CUUUCUCGCGUCCGCAGUGUCCCUGAGGGUCCGCGUCUACACGCGGCUGUGAGGAAGGAAGGCGCGUGCCGCGUGGGACGGGCUCCACCUGCCUGCGGACAGAUGGAGGGUCACUUUGUUCCGAGAAGACCCAGACACCCGAGGGAGGAUGUGAAACGGAACGACCCGUUUCGGUGCGGUUGGCUUUGUUUAUUUGCCUACUCCCCAGACGCCUCCAGCCUCUGAUUCCGGCACACCCUGUGAGGAAGCAAACGGCUGCCUCCCCCACUGCCACCAGACGAGGUCGCCUGCCCCGAGCCGGACAGGCUGGACAGGCUGCGCACCUGCGGCGGCCGACUAUUUCGUGGGCCUUGUACGCCACCUUGCAGAAGGGAAGCUGUGAGGUUUUGGCGAUAGAAGCGCAUUUACUUGUGUUUUAAAGCCCACAAACGCCGUAGUGACUAACUUAUUCAUUCAGCAAAUGUCUGUCAGAGCGUCUAUUACGUACCAGGCAUGUAGCCUGAACUUCACGCCUGUCCUCAUGGAGCUUGCAGAGCACCUCUGAAAUACACACCACAUACGGAAUGGCCAUAUUUUCUGGGUUGUAAAAUACUUUGAAUUGUAACUCCAUAUAUUGAAUAGAUUUUCAGUAGUGAGGGAAGAAACAAUACAUUUAGUUCAUAUAAUCCAUAUGUACGAAAAAGAAGUGCUGGUAAUUCCAGACAUGGAAGUCAGUAAAACUAGGAGCUAAGAGGUAAUAAUCAUAGACAUUAUGAUUCUAAGCCUUUGUUAAACGGUUCUAAACCAGACUGGGUAAGCGCACCAGCAAUGAAUAGAUUAAGGGUGUUAUCUCCUUAGCAGCUUAUUUCAAAUUGCAUCAAGGCAGGGCCAUUAAACUAAGGUGAGAAUGAUAUGGGCGGAAUUCAGAGGACAAUAGGUAAAAGAUGAAAAUCUUUACAUUUAAAAUCUUAUUGAGACAAGAUCUUGGUCAGUGUCUACUCAUACAUAGAAUUGCCUAGAAGCUAAUAUUUGAGUUUACCAUAUUACUGUUGGCUUUCUAUUUUUCUCAUUUGUUCUGUUUCUUUUCUGUCCUUUUGUGCCUUCUUGUAGAUUAUUAAUUCCACUCCCUUGUAACAAUUAGGUUGUUAUACAUUCUUUAUGCUUUUAGUAGUAUUUCAGUUAUUUAUUGCUGUGUUCAAACCACCCCCAAAAUAUAAUGACUUAAAACAAUGGCUCUUUUAUUUACUCAUGAUUCUGAAUUCUCUGGCACAGGAAUUCAGUCAGGGCAUAGUACAGGUGGCUCAUUUCUGCUCCAUGAUGUCUGGGGCUUCAAUUAGCGUGGGCAUACUGGGGCCUGGCUGGAAUGGCUUAACUAGGGUCAUAAGUCUUGGGACUUAAGGAUGGAGAUGGAGUUUCAUGACAAAAAUGAAGUGAACAUGAUGUGGAAAAUAUGGACAUGGAAGCCACGAGCUAAGGAUGCUGGAACAGAAAGAAGGCUGUUAGCUACAUACCUUGGUUUUUCUCUACAUGGCUUCUCCAUAUGGCUAAUUUAGGCUUCCUCACAGCAUCAUAAUCUUAGGAUUGCAAGAGGGGACAUUCCAAAAAGACAAGCCUCAAUGUGCAAGCCUUUACUUUUAUCAUGCUUACUAAUGUGUCACUGGCCAAAGCAAGUCUCAUGGCCAAGCUCAGCGUCAGUGUGGGGAGGAACUACACAAGAUUGUGAAUAUUGGGAGGUGUGACAUAUUGGUAGUCAUUUAGACUAGGGACAGACCACCUUAAUCCAAUCAAGAGAAUAAUUAAAAGUUACUUCCAGGGUAUAGCCCAGUUCCAACUUAAAAUCUUUCCUCCUUAGGUCCUGAACUCAAUAUUUUUACCCACCCAAUCCCACACCCACUCCCCUUGAGGCAGUUGAAAACUCUGGCUAGUUUCUCAGCCUCUCUCCAUUACUGCUUUCUGAAUGUUAAUUGCCUCGAAGGGAAAAGUGGCACCAAAUUCUGGACUCAAAAUCUUGGAUUUAGGCCCCUCAGACUGUUGAAGUUCUACUGCUCCAGAAAAGAGUAAUAACAGGAUGGAGAUGGAGUUUCAUGACAAAAAUGAAGGUGAAUAUGAUGUGGAAAAUACAAAGAUGGAAGCAACAAGCUAAGGAUGCUGGGGCAGAAAGAUGGAACCUGGGUUACUCAUGACAUCUUGAAACUGCUGCAGCCAUCCUAGACUGGCUGCCUCUAGACUUAAUAUGUUUAGAAAGUAAAUCCCAAUUUUAUUA
This 2242-nucleotide long non-coding RNA is filed under the name Homo sapiens (human). RNAcentral's name for it is "HSALNT0315570". The record is from RNAcentral. Lineage: Eukaryota; Metazoa; Chordata; Mammalia; Primates; Hominidae.